This 254-nucleotide ribosomal RNA is filed under the name uncultured bacterium. RNAcentral describes it as "partial 16S ribosomal RNA". It matches the Rfam family "Bacterial small subunit ribosomal RNA", at positions 524 to 776 of the family's 1533-position model. The record is from RNAcentral.
UACGGAGGGGGCAAGCGUUAUUCGGAUUUACUGGGCGUAAAGGGUGCGUAGGCGGCCGUGCAAGUCUGAUGUGAAAUCUUCACCGCUCAACGGGAAGAGGUCAUUGGACACUGCAUGGCUUGAAUGUGGUAGAGGCAAGCGGAAUUCCUGGUGUAGCGGUGGAAUGUGCAGAUAUCAGGAAGAGCACCUGUGGCGAAGGCGGCUUGCUGGGCCAUUAUUGACGCUGAGGCACGAAAGCGUGGGGAGCGAGCGGG